AAGUCCGACCCGUUCGCGGCCAUCGCCGGCGCCGUGGCCGCCGCCAGGUCCCGCCUCGGGACCUUCCGCACGCGCGCCGAGAAGAAGAUCCCCGCCAUCGUCGACUACUUCGGUUGGUGCACCUGGGACGCGUUUUACCAGGAGGUGACCCAGGAGGGCGUCGAGGCCGGGCUCCGGAGCCUCGCCGCGGGCGGCGCCCCGCCCAAGUUCGUCAUCAUCGACGACGGCUGGCAGUCCGUGGCCACCGACGACGCCAAGGGCACGCUGGCCCGGCUCACCGGCAUCAAGGAGAACGGUAAGUUCCAGAGCGGCGUCCAUGGCGGCGGGAUCGAGACGGUUGUCCGCGCGGCCAAGGAGAAGCACGGGCUCAAGUACGUGUACGUGUGGCACGCCAUCACCGGCUACUGGGGCGGCGUGCGGCCCGGCGUCCCCGCCAUGGAUGCCUACCGGUCCACGAUGCAGUUCCCGGAGAUCUCCCCUGGCGUGGCGGAGAACGAGCCCGGGAUGAAGACGGACGUGCUGACGCUGCAGGGCCUCGGCCUCGUGCACCCGGACGCCGUGCACCGGUUCUACGACGAGCUCCACGCGUACCUCGCCGCCGCCGGCGUCGACGGCGUCAAGGUCGACGUGCAGUCCGUCCUCGAGACCCUCGGCGCCGGCCACGGCGGCCGCGCCCGGCUCACGUCC
This 687-nucleotide long non-coding RNA is filed under the name Brachypodium distachyon (stiff brome). RNAcentral describes it as "long non-coding RNA (BDIS_LNC000934)". The record is from RNAcentral. Lineage: Eukaryota; Viridiplantae; Streptophyta; Magnoliopsida; Poales; Poaceae.